This 254-nucleotide ribosomal RNA is filed under the name uncultured bacterium. RNAcentral's name for it is "partial 16S ribosomal RNA". It matches the Rfam family "Bacterial small subunit ribosomal RNA", at positions 524 to 777 of the family's 1533-position model. The record is from RNAcentral.
UACGAAGGGGGCUAGCGUUGCUCGGAAUCACUGGGCGUAAAGCGCACGUAGGCGGAUUGUUAAGUCAGGGGUGAAAUCCUGGAGCUCAACUCCAGAACUGCCUUUGAUACUGGCGAUCUCGAGUCCGGGAGAGGUGAGUGGAACUGCGAGUGUAGAGGUGAAAUUCGUAGAUAUUCGCAAGAACACCAGUGGCGAAGGCGGCUCACUGGUCCGGUACUGACGCUGAGGUGCGAAAGCGUGGGGAGCAAACAGGG